UGGGAUUACGGGCAUGAGCCACCAUGCCCAGCCCGAGGCUUUUGUUUUUAUGUAAGUUUAGAUUUUAUAAAACAUCAGCAUUUUUGUAAACAAACAUGCUAAAUUUCAGCACUUUGGAGACCACCAACACAUUAGCCUCUAUUCUCAUUAUAUUACUAAUGUGAACCUAUAAAAUUAUCAAAGGUUCAGCUCUUAUUUAAUAUGUAGUUUUAUAUAAGAUUUCAUUUGGAGGAAAAAAAAAUGGAUUCCACUGUCAAAAAGUUUGAAAUGCACUAAGCUUAAUUCAGCUUUUUUAGAGAAGGGAACAGACCUAGAGGUGCAGAGAUGGGCCCACACUGACUGGAAGCCAAGUGUCCCUACUCUCAUAAGACUUUCUGCUUCGUAUAAAAAGCAUGAUGUAAAUUCCACAGAACUUGGGGGUGGGGGUGCGGGCCACAUAACUCCAUAAUCUCUAGAAUUCCUAUUUUCCUACUUACAGGUCUUCCUGCUCAUGUCUGGUGUAGGGUGGUUGCCUUGAGGGGCUUCUAGAAAUACACAGGUGUGGUGACCUCAUCUGUCUUCAUUUCUGCCUCCAAAACAAGGCUCCCUUCCUGCUGCCGAGCCCCCUGCUGACUCUCCCUUGGGUUCCCCUCUGUGUGCUGCCCUAAGCUGGAGCGUCCACGUCUAAUGCAACGCAGGUGAGUCCGUCCACCGGGUACUUCUUGGGUGUUUAGAUGCCUGUUGAAAAUGGGUCCUCAAUCGGCCGGGCACGAUGGCUCACACCUGUAAUCCCAGCACUUUGGGAGGCCGAGGUGUGCGCAUCACGAAGUCAGAAGAUCGAGACCAUCCUGGCUAACAAGGUGAAACCCCGUCUCUACUAAAAAUACAAAAAAUUAGCCGGGCGAGGUGGCGGGCGCCUGUAGUCCCAGCUAUUCGGGAGGCUGAGGCAGGAGAAUGGCGUGAACCCAGGAGGUGGAGCUUGCAGUGAGCUGAGAUCCCGCCACUGCACUCCAGCCUGGGCGACAGAACAAGACUCUGUCUCAAAAAAAAAAAAAAAGAAAACGGGUCCUCAAUCAAGGAGCGACCCCCAGAGUGAGCGCCACGCCUGAGGCUCGGAGCAGGGUCACCUCCUCCUUUCAAACAGGAAUCUAUGCUGAGGCUGGAGCCUCUUUAGACCCACGUGGCCCCACAGCCCACAAAACUGAGGCUGACCCCAGGGCUUGAGCUAAAGGAAACAGUCACGCAUAUCACCUGUUGCUGUCAGAGGACUUGUGAGAAGCCGCCUUGUUUCCAGUGCUGUCAGAGCCCAGGUGAUUCUCUAGUAAAUGCUUUGCCAGGAAACCUGGAGGUUUCUUCCUUCGGGAUUGCUUCUUUGUGGGUUUCAAACAGACUAGAAUAAAAAGCCUGCUACGGAAAAUUGACAUCAUAAUUAAAGGCCCAGAGGUCGGUGUGAGACUGGCAUGAGGGGCAGAGGAGGGACAUGGGGCCCCCCCGGAGUCUCCGACCACUCCCAGGCUCAAGAGUUCCCUCUGAGGACUCACAGGGGUGAGUAGAGCUGUCGGACACAUGGCUACAAUUAUGCCAGUGAGCAGACACUGAUGAAAAUCAGGAACAGGACAAGAUGCACAGGGCAGGGCUGUCCAGGAGACGUCAGAGCUGCCAGCCGUCCUCUCCCCGUGGAGCCCUGCGGCGCACUGGCUUCUCCCGGUGACGGUGUGCACCAGCUCGCGUGGAGUAUCGCCCACCAGGGAAGCUCGCCUGAGCAUUGGCGUCCACAGUUUUACUGGGGGUUUAUCAUGUGUACAUGGUGGCCUCGGUGUCCAGCCCCUCCAGAGGUGGAGCCAUCCUGUGUGGCCCGAGACCCCCAGCAUAAAUCAUGUCGUUUGCCUAGACUGGCCAGCAGGGCCCAAGGCCCCCGGCUAGACAAAGGCGCUCUCACCGGGCACAGCAUGCCAAGGGCCUCUCGGCUGCUGCAAAGCUGGGGAAAAGGCCAGACCUCUCUUUGGACAAGGUUGAACCUUUCCUGAACAGCUGUCCUCCCCACAGGAGGAACCGGAGUACAGAGGCUCAUCUGCUGGGCCGAGGUAGCUAAGGGCAAUGUGGGGGUCCCACAGUCAACCCAGGACCUCCCUAACUCAAAGCUCUUCCCGCUACACAGCAAGAAGAAGGGACUUCCCAGCUAAAUGGCGAUGUCUGCUUUCCAGUGAAUCUGAGAAAGGAGAGGCUUCCAGAGUGAGAAUAACUUGCAGAGGAGAAGGAAUAGAACCUGCCUUCAGAAUGUGAACCACUCCCUGUAACUCAGAGAUAAAACAAUCCCAUACCUUGAA
This is a non-coding RNA of Macaca mulatta (Rhesus monkey), 2306 nucleotides long. The record is from RefSeq and is a predicted model, not a curated record. NCBI's taxonomy places the organism in Eukaryota, Metazoa, Chordata, Mammalia, Primates, Cercopithecidae.